CUAAUUAUACUUUUAUGAAGGUUUGUUAAACCUCUACUAAAGCUGCAAUGAAGGUCUGCUGAAGCUUUACUAAACCUGCAAUGCUGAAGCUUUACUUAAGUUCAAUUGAAGCUCUACUGAAGAUGUAAAGAAGGUAUUUUGAAGCACUACUGAAGCUGUAAAGGUCUGUUGAAGAUCUAUUGAAGCUGUAAAGAAGGUCUGUUGAAGCUCUAGGGAAGCUGUAAUGAAGGUCUGUUAAAACUUGACCGGUGAUGAGCAGAUCAUCUUCAGAUAUAUAAACAAAUCUGUGAAAUUCAGGUAUUGUAAUAUAGAAAUUUAUCAAAAUCAUGAUAUAGAAUCACAAUUUUAACUGAAUCUGCAACUAGGUUUUGUGAUGUCCUAUCGACUGGUGAUUCCCAUCCCUAGUGUUUAUACCAAACUGCCAUAAUUUUAUUCUGAAGCAACCAGGAUUUUUUUUUAAAGGAAAUUACCGGACCUAUAUGAAAUUCAUUUCUGCAAAGAUUUAAAAGCAUUCUGACUCAAAUUAUAAAUAUGCAAAACUGCAGCACAGACUAAAUUAGCUCACAAAUAAAACAUUUUACUUCCAUA
Molecule: long non-coding RNA, 588 nt
Organism: Clarias gariepinus (North African catfish)
Lineage: Eukaryota; Metazoa; Chordata; Actinopteri; Siluriformes; Clariidae
Exons: 2
Source: RefSeq, a predicted model, not a curated record